AGGACGAACGCUGGCGGCGUGCCUAACACAUGCAAGUCAGGGAGAAAGGGAUAGCAAUAUCCCGAGUAAACCGGCGCACGGGUGAGUAACGCGUAGGUAAUUUGCCCUGGAGACUGGGAUAACCUUGCGAAAGCGAGGCUAAUACCGGAUAGGCAAUCUUGGGGCUUCCCAAGAUUGUUAAAGGAUUGGCAACAAUCCGCUCUAGGAUAAGCCUGCGUCCGAUUAGCUAGUUGGUAGGGUAAUGGCCUACCAAGGCGACGAUCGGUAGCUGGUCUGAGAGGAUGAUCAGCCACACUGGGACUGAGACACGGCCCAGACUCCUACGGGAGGCAGCAGUGAGGAAUAUUGGGCAAUGCCCGAAAGGGUGACCCAGCAACGCCGCGUGGAGGAUGAAGUCCUUCUGGACGUAAACUC
RNAcentral lists this ribosomal RNA (414 nucleotides) under uncultured bacterium. Its description in RNAcentral is "bacterial SSU rRNA". It matches the Rfam family "Bacterial small subunit ribosomal RNA", at positions 26 to 432 of the family's 1533-position model. The record is from RNAcentral.